RNAcentral lists this unclassified non-coding RNA (250 nucleotides) under plant metagenome. Its description in RNAcentral is "partial contains small subunit ribosomal RNA, internal transcribed spacer 1, and 5.8S ribosomal RNA". The record is from RNAcentral.
GUAGGUGAACCUGCGGAAGGAUCAUUAACACUUUAUAUUAUCCAAUAUUAAAAACCAAACGUGAAUUUAUCGAAUCCCUUUUCAUAUACCGGAGACGGUUUAAGAUUAGGCUAACAUUUUUUAAAUCUUUUUUAAACCCCAUUUAAUUUAUAUAUUAUAGCAAUAUAGGAUAUAAAAAAAUUCAACUCUUCGAUUUUAUUAAUUCUAAUUAUAUUUAUUUAUAUGCGAAUCUCUAAAAACGAACUAAACU